This is a long non-coding RNA of Crotalus tigris (Tiger rattlesnake), 723 nucleotides long. RefSeq lists it as uncharacterized. The transcript is spliced from 2 exons. Lineage: Eukaryota; Metazoa; Chordata; Lepidosauria; Squamata; Viperidae. The record is from RefSeq and is a predicted model, not a curated record.
GUUUAUACAAAGUUAGAGACCUGAGCUAAUCUCUUUGGAGGCUCCAGGUUGGAAAAGGUGACCUUGAUGAAACCGAUAAGCCUCCAGAGGCAUCAACAACUUCCUAAAAAAAUGCAAAUGACCAGCUGUCUGCAAAGAGUAUAAAUCUUUCCAUUCCCUACCAUCCAAUCAGAGCUGAAGAAGUUUCUUGGAUGAGAAGUGAAAUGUCUUCAAAGAAAAACAAGAAAGUCCAGUUGCCUCAUGAAAAGCACCUUUGGGACGACCUGAAAGAUUCAGUUUCUCCAGAAAAUCUGCUUCUUGAAGUUAAAGUGAUUUUUGCUGGAUAAAAUGAAGAUGUAUGAAAUAGGGUCAUAAUUCUUUAAUGAAUACCAGAGAGCCUUGUUCUUAUAAUGUUUAAUGCCAAGCACAUCUUUUUAAAAGUGUGUAGAGCCCUUGUCGCCUAGUCACAAGGUAACAAAUUUGACUGCAGGAAGCCUUGGAUAUGUAUGUUGCUAUAUGUUCGUGUGUAACAUUUUAAAAAACAAAAUAAAUAUAAGAUGAAUAAGAUAAGUAAGUAAAAGAGUAAAACUUUCUAUUCUGAAACUGUAGGAUCCAAUCUGGGUCAGUCACUGGGACCAGAGAUUUAGUCAUUCUGAAAUUGUUAAAUUGCUUUUUGUUAUGACAUUUUCCCCAAUAUUCAGCUAAAAUAUGCCUGCCUUAAACUACUAAAAUAUCCCAUUAUUC